Molecule: ribosomal RNA, 108 nt
Organism: Aotus nancymaae (Ma's night monkey)
Lineage: Eukaryota; Metazoa; Chordata; Mammalia; Primates; Aotidae
Source: Ensembl
GUCUACAGCCAUACCACCCUGAACAUGCCUGGUCUCAAAAGCUAAGAACAGUUGGGCCUGGUUAGUAUUGGUUGUGAGACCACAUGAGAAUACCAAGUAAUAUAGGCU